Molecule: ribosomal RNA, 563 nt
Filed under: Orwellium sp. OSUC 266096
Lineage: Eukaryota; Metazoa; Arthropoda; Insecta; Hymenoptera; Scelionidae
Description: SSU rRNA
Rfam family: Eukaryotic small subunit ribosomal RNA
Source: RNAcentral
UGAGAAACGGCUACCACAUCCAAGGAAGGCAGCAGGCGCGCAAAUUACCCACUCCCGGCACGGGGAGGUAGUGACGAAAAAUAACGAUACGGGACUCAUCUGAGGCUCCGUAAUCGGAAUGAGUACACUUUAAAUCCUUUAACGAGGAUCCAUUGGAGGGCAAGUCUAGUGCCAGCAGCCGCGGUAAUUCUAGCUCCAAUAGCGUAUAUUAAAGUUGUUGCGGUUAAAAAGCUCGUAGUUGAAUCUGUGUGCCACGCUGUUGGUUCACCGCUCGCGGUGUAACUGACUGGCCAGUGGUACGUCCUACCGGUGGACUUAGCCGUCGUUCGCGUCGGCGGUCCAAUUCAAUCCCGUCGCGGUGCUCUUCACCGAGUGCCGAGGUGGGCCGGUACGUUUACUUUGAACAAAUUAGAGUGCUCAAAGCAGGCUAUUUUCGCCUGAAUACUGUGUGCAUGGAAUAAUGGAAUAGGACCUCGGUUCUAUUUUGUUGGUUUUCGGAACACCGAGGUAAUGAUUAAUAGGGACAGAUGGGGGCAUUCGUANUGCGACGUUAGAGGUGAAAU